Molecule: ribosomal RNA, 274 nt
Filed under: uncultured bacterium
Lineage: Bacteria
Description: partial 16S ribosomal RNA
Rfam family: Bacterial small subunit ribosomal RNA
Source: RNAcentral
CUACGGAGGGGGUUAGCGUUGUUCGGAAUUACUGGGCGUAAAGCACACGUAGGCGGACUGGAAAGUUGGGGGUGAAAUCCCGGGGCUCAACCCCGGAACUGCCUCCAAAACUUCCAAUCUAGAGAUCGAGAGAGGUGAGUGGAAUUCCAAGUGUAGAGGUGAAAUUCGUAGAUAUUUGGAGGAACACCAGUGGCGAAGGCGGCUCACUGGCUCGAUACUGACGCUGAGGUGCGAAAGCGUGGGGAGCAAACAGGAUUAGAAACCCUAGUAGUCC